RNAcentral lists this ribosomal RNA (442 nucleotides) under uncultured bacterium. Its description in RNAcentral is "partial 16S ribosomal RNA". It matches the Rfam family "Bacterial small subunit ribosomal RNA", at positions 338 to 795 of the family's 1533-position model. The record is from RNAcentral.
CCUACGGGAGGUAGCAGUAGGGAAUCUUUCACAAUGGGCGAAAGCCUGAUGGAGCAACGCCGCGUGCAGGAUGAAGGCCUUCGGGUUGUAAACUGCUUUUAUAAGCGAGAAAUAUGAUGGUAACUUAUGAAUAAGGAUUGGCUAACUACGUGCCAGCAACCGCGGUCAUACGUAGGACCCGAGCCUUAUCCGGGGUGACUGGGUGUAAAGAGUUGCGUAGGUGGCAUAAUAAGUAGCUAGUGAAAUCUGGUGGCUCAACCAUUCAGACUAUUAGCUAAACUGGUAAGCUAGAGUCUGUUAGGGGUAAGUGGAAUUUCAGGUGUAGGAGUGAAAUCCGUAGAUAUUAGAAGGAACACCAGUAGCGUAGGCAAGUAACUGGCACGGUUCUGACGCUAAGGCGCGAAAGCGUAGGUAGCAAACGGGAUUAGAUACCCGAGUAGUC